AUGAAUCAUACCUCAUUCCUGCAUGAUAUCACCGCACUUGCAGCGUCCGCAGGGCACAGCUUGAGUUUUGGGGAUGCUCCUUUGCUUUUGUGUGGCAUUUACAACUCCACCGCRCCAGCAUCGUCUUCCUGCAGAUCAGCGUGACAGCGUGGAGUCCCCGGCGUGGGUGCUGGCCCUCAGCUGCCUGCUGCCUUUGGGCAGUGAAGGUUGCCAGCUCCUCGAGGCUCUGCAGGGUUACUACAAGGAGAGCUGCACGGGAGAAGCAGUAGGGCGCACGGUUACUUCUGCUUUUGAUGCUCCUCAAUGCUGGGCGACAGAACCAGAUUUGCAGUAA
Molecule: long non-coding RNA, 334 nt
Filed under: Dromaius novaehollandiae (emu)
Lineage: Eukaryota; Metazoa; Chordata; Aves; Casuariiformes; Dromaiidae
Description: lncRNA (ENSDNVG00000010164.1)
Source: RNAcentral